AGAUAUUAGCUUAAUAACUUAUGUGAUGGGUUUCCAAACUUUAUUGAUGCAUGUUCAAAUGCUCUGAAGUCAUCAUCCCUCCCAUUUGUCAAACUAUGCAACAACCCUGAAGCAACUAAAACAAUUGCUUACAUGGAAAGUGGAGUUAUUUUUAGCUGUUUUGCUAAGGGAUCCAGUUUCUUCUCUACUUUUAAGGCAGCAACAGAAGCUAGUGUGAGCUGUUGGUUUCUAUGUUCUUGAUUCUACAAGCUUUCAGCUUGCAAUAAAGGAAGGGGUCAAGAUACCCAAGAAAAAUACCCUGAACAAUUUCGCUCACCAUACAUUACUUAAAAGCAGUUGAGCAAAAAUCUUUGGUUUUCAGGGAAAAGGAAAAAAACAGAAGGGGAUAUCUUUACACAUCUUCCCUCUGGGUAGGAUGCGGAUGACUGUCCUAAUACAAAUUCAGUUGCAAUUUCAUUCAAGCCGAGAAAACUUUGAACCAAACUUUGCGCCAGACUGCUUCUUUGUGUUGCCUACCAGGAUCAUGGCGGGAGGCCACUGAAUGUCGUGGCUCUUGUGCAUGUACGCUUGGGGGAGCUGGGAAAGGAGAAAAGGAAACGAGAAAGCAUCUGAGAGCGCUUUGCGGUAAGCCUUUCCCCCUUCCCCGGCCAGCAAGGGCUCGCUACGUGGGUUAACUGCCCUCAGGAAGGGGGGGGGUGGCGGCCCAGCGAGGUGCUGCUACGUGUGCUACUCUUUUUCAGCGAGGAGCGGGGGACGGCCGUACAUAACCGUAUUGCUUUAAAGUUUCUUCCUGAGAAAAAGGGAGGAAAAAAGCUUAAAAUACAGGAAAGAAGAAUGGAGGACAUAGCAGGUUUAUGCUUGUCUAUUGCUGGGAAUUUGAAGAAGGAUAGACUACUGAGUUUGCUGAGUAUACAGAUGACUUGGACCAGCCCUGCCUCUUAUAUACACUGUGAAUCCAGGUUAUACUAUUUUCAACAUCUUAUAAUAAC
Molecule: long non-coding RNA, 989 nt
Filed under: Struthio camelus australis
Lineage: Eukaryota; Metazoa; Chordata; Aves; Struthioniformes; Struthionidae
Description: lncRNA (ENSSCUG00000003114.1)
Source: RNAcentral